RNAcentral lists this long non-coding RNA (23659 nucleotides) under Homo sapiens (human). Its description in RNAcentral is "HSALNT0365339". Lineage: Eukaryota; Metazoa; Chordata; Mammalia; Primates; Hominidae. The record is from RNAcentral.
ACACCUCCUUGUUCUCCCUGCAGGAAUGAAGAGUUGCAUGGGGCUCGCUCGUUUUCUCUGGAGUUAGUUGCGUCCUAUACAGGGUCGUGUCGAGGUCGUCCUAAACCGUGGCCACUUUCCUGAGUGCACAGCCCGCAGUAGCGCCACAAGACCACCUCCCCCCGGCCCCGGCCUCAUCCCCACCUCCAGGGAAGAGUCCAGAGCCACAGAAUUAGCUCCUAGAACGCAACCAACAAGAGUCCAGAUGAACCCGCUCUAUUGGGAAACUCACAGUUUUUCAUCUACUCUGGGCACCACAACGUAUUUGCAGGGGCCACAGCAAAAACUACCCUUGAUCAAGCUACGUGCCCCAGCCUGAAGCACAGCAAAUAAACAUCCUGCACAGAGGCAGUAAAAACAAGGGUACAUCUGACAAAGAAUGCACCACACCUGGACAAUUAUUACACAGCUAUACAGGGUGUGCUUGCACGCACGCAUGAAUACCUGUGCGUGGCACAGGGCCCCAGCGGCGGCUUGCUUAUGAUCCCUCCAAGGUGACCAAGCACUGAGCCACCCUGCCUCAGCAGUAAAAUAGACAUAUUUACCAGUCCCUUCAACCCACAGCCAGGAGCUAGGCAAACACCCACAGAGGAGGGAGGACACACUUUAACCCUACAUUCAGCUUGACGAGCCAAACUCUCUGAACCACAGGAGAUAAAACUUCUGCCAUGGAACUGCUAAGGUAGAUAAUCAGCAACCCCCCAAGACUGUGCCUGCUGCACAACUACAGAACGCAGUGGAAGACACGCUGAAUUCUGAGUCAGAAGGUUGACUUUCUAGCUGUGGGGACUUGGCCAAACCUCCUCAGAGCUUCAGUUUUCUCAUCUGUAAAAUAGAGAUCUUAAUCCCUACCAAUCUCACAGGACUGCUGAGAGUAUCAGAUGAGAUUCUCAAAGCAAUCCUGUAUGGUGAGAAUUAUUUUUAUUUUACCGACAAAGCUGCUGAAGAUCAGAGACAUUGAGUUACUCAUAGAAGAUAUACAGACAGAGCCAAGAUUCAAAUCCCUUGGGUGUCUGGCUCCAAAGUGGAAAUUUUCUCCACGGUGCCAAAGGACUCAUAAACAGAAUGUACAAAGGACUCUUACAAAUCAGUAAUAAAAGGACAAUCAAUGUUUUUAAACAAGCAGAAGACUUCGAUAAACACCACAUAAAAGAGAAUGCAUGCAUGGCCAAUGAGAACAUAAAAAAGAUGCUCAGCGUUGUUGGUCGUCAGGGAAGUGCAGAUUGAAAAUGCAAUGGGAUACCACUACACACCCGCCAGAAUGGUUAAAAUUUAAAAAUUUUAACAGUACCAAAUGUUAGAGAGGCUGUGAAGCAGCAGGAUGUUUUAUGCAUGGCCAGCAAAAGUAUAAAAUGGUAGAGCCAUUUGGAAAACUGGCAUUUUCUCAUAAAUAUUCACCUAUCAUGUGAUCUAAAAAUUCCAAAAGAAAUGAAACUAUAUGUCUACAAAAAAAGUUGGAUAAGAAUAUUCAUUGUAGCUUUAUUUCUUUUGUUGUUGUUGUUGAAACAGAGUCUCGCUCUGCCGCCCAGGCUGGAGUGCAGUGGAGCCGUCUCAGCUCACUGCAACCUCUGCCUCCCGGGUUCAAGCAAUUCUUGUGCCUCAGCCUCCCAGGUAGCUGGGACUACAGGCACGUGCCACCACACCUGGCUAAUUUUUGUAUUUUUAGUAGAGAUGGGGUUUCGCCAUAUUGGCCAGGCUGCUCUCGAACUCCUGACCUUGUGAUCCGCCUGCCUCGGCCUCCCAAAGUGCUGGGAUUACAGGCAUGAGCCACCGCACCUGGCCAUGGCUUUAUUUCUAAAAGCCAAACUUUGGAAACAAUGCCAAUGUCUAUCAAUAGACUAAAGAGAUAAAUUGAGAUUUUUCAUACUGUGAGAUAUUGCCCCACAAUAAAAAGGAGCAAACUAUUAAUGCAUACAACAACGUAGAUGAAUCUCAACAAUAUUAUGUUAAAUGAGAAGCACCAGACACAAAAGAGUACACACAAUGAACGACUCCACUUAUGUGAAGUCUAGCAACAGGAAAAACUCAUCUAUGGAAAUAGAAAUCAGAAUAGUCAUUGCCUGUGAGAAUGUAGAGGGAGGGUGGGCCACAGGAAAGGAGCAUGGGAAAAUUUUUUGGGUGAUGGCAAUUUUCACAUUUUGAUUAAACAAUUAAGUUUAAUCAAAUUAUACACUUAAGGUCUGUGCAUUUUACCAUAUGUAAUUAUGCUUUGAAUAAAAAUAAAUUAAAAUAAAGGGAUGAAAUGAGUUGCUUCUUCCAGUAUUAUGCUUUGGCACUGGAAGUAUUUAAGCUAGACUAAUGCUUAUCAGAGAUAUUGUGGACGGUUCAAAUUGGGAGUUCUGAUUAAGUAAUAAAAAACAAGCCCUCAGAUUUUAAGACUUCGGUGUGAUACUUGAUAUGUAAUGCUGAACUAAUCAUGUAUUUCGGAAUAGGCAAAACCUGCGUUCAUCUUCUAUUUUGGAGAACUCCACGUAGAUAUGGAAACUUAUGUUACCGAAAACUUUCUUGAAUCUGUUUAUUUUUCUUUUCUGAAAUUCUUCCCCUAUUUACCAUUACCUCUAACUACUUGCCUCCUGAAACGCAAACCUUUAGCCACUCUAUGUUCCUGUAUCUUAGAACAUGUGGUGUUUGCACAUUUCCUUUGUUAAACAUCCUCCCUACUCCCACUUCCCAUCAACUUCUGCCCUUCCUUGAAACUACACAGAAGUCAACUGCACCAGUAAGACUCCCCUAUAAGCCCUGUGGCCCACAGUUUUAGUCUAUUUUUGAGUCUAGAUUACCUGUAGUAUAGCAAUUAUCCCAGGCUAAAUGAUGCCAAGGUCCCUUCCCGCUCAAAGAGUCUGGCUCUUUGAACAGGGGAAUCUGGGCUUGAAGAAUGAAGAGAAACAACCAAGCCAUCAGCAGUAGCAUCUUCAUCAGGUUCUGCAUGAGGUAGACUGAAUGACAGAAUAUGACCUGGGUCAUUUCUGUGAAAACUAUAUUACUUAGAAUUAAGUCAGAAGUUUCAAUCCCAGCUGAUUAAUAAGAGAACCAGUUGAGAUUGCCAAACUUGUUCAGACUUGGAGACUUGCCAUUUUGGAGCUAGAUGAGAAAGAAUUCAACUCAGUGGUUGCAUAAGAAUGGGUCUGUGCAGAUGACAUGGAACAUGGUGGGUUGAAAGAAAAUGGGUGAAUAAAACCCUAGGCUAAGUGCUGAAGCUAAUAUUUACUGAUCACUCUCAUGGAGUCAGAUCCUAUGCUAAACACUUUGUCCAUUCAUCUUAUUUAAUCCUCACUGUGACUCUCUGUACAGAGGCUAAGUAGUGUGCCCAAGGUUUCACAGCUAGUAAGUACUAGAACUGGGUCUCAUUUCCAGGUCUAUUUGACUGCAAAGUCCAUAUUCUUGCUCACUAGGCUCUAGUAAGUCCCAGAAAGGAAUUGCCAAAAUCAUUUAGCCCUGUUUCUUGGUUCCAGGUACCUCAGCCACCCCAAACUGGCUAACUCCUUUCCCAUUAUUUUUAGGAUUACUGGGAAGAGAGGUCUGCAGCAUUCCUCAGUAACCUGUCUCAGUGCCUCUAAUAUCUGCAGCAAGAACAUUCUUCUUUGUGUUUCAUCUGAGUCCUCCCUACUUUUGUUUUAUCAUUCAUAGGUGAGAUAAGGCUCCGUUUAUACUUAUAAUUUCAGUGAAAGCAGGAGGCUGCAGAAACCACUGCCGUAAGAACUUUAAAUAUUCUAGUGCAUCUUCUGUUUGUCUGAGAGUUGUCAGGUUCCUCUAGCAGUGCAGUCUGGAGCCAUAUGAGGGGAGAUUAAUGAGGGGACAUGGGGGGUCAAGAAGCAAAUAUUCAUUAAAGAGAUCAGGAAAUGGGUUUGUCCUCAUUAAGGCAUAAUCACAGCAGACCAUAGAGCAUAGUGGAAUAUGAAGCUGUGGUUUAGCCAAGGAAAAUGCAAGGAACAAAUCUUAUAGACAUGGGAAACAGGAGCAGGAAACCUUAGCACUGUUAGGCUGAAGUUGUGUAACAGUCUUCUCCCCGUGGUCAUUUUGACUAAAUCAACUAAAACCAUGUCUAAUAUAUUUAGCACCUAUGAGGAACUCAUUUCUCCUCCCUCUCCUCUUCUUCUUGUGUGCAUGUGACUGGCUUACUGGACAACCUUUAUUUCAAAAGCAGUGUUGUGAGAACCCAGAAUAUGGCUCUUGCUCAAGAGCCUCUCCUCAAUCCUGAGUUGUAGCCCAAGACAUCACAGAUCACUGAGCUGGGGUGUGGGAGGUCCUCAAGCUCUUGUCUUAAUGCUGGUAGAGGGCAGAGCUCAGAUAUGAACACAGGCAGUUGAGCUCCAGAGCCUGUGCCCUUAAUCACUUCAUUGUUCCUCAGUUGAUUUGUGAUCGUGAUAUCCCUAAUCCCCUGACAAAAGAGAAGUACCCUUGGAGAUCUAGCCAGUGGUUUACAACCACUUGAAAAUUUCAAGCAGCAGAACUAGAUUUAUUACAAUUAAAACCUGACAUGGAACCUCAAUGUAUGAAACAGACAAAAGCAGAUGUAUGGUACUGAGGCUGUGGGGGGCCCAGGGUUUCUAAAGCCCUGCUUGCUUAACUCUGCCAAUCCCUAGGGUUCUGCAGAACACACAGUGAGAACUACAUCACUCUGUUAGCAACCAAGUAAAUUGAAAAUUGACAUGUAAUAGUAAAGUGACAUGUUUUUUCUUUUUAUCUCUUUGCAUUUCUUUCAACCAGAUAAGAGAAAUGAGACUCAGGACAAGUAGACAGAGCAAAGGGAAAGGGACAGAGCAAAGGGAAAGAGCCAGUGCACAGGGCGUUAUCAGAGAGCAGAGCUGAGCAAGGCACUGCAGUGGGGCAUCAUGGUCAAGGUGAGCCGUAUGAGAUCACCUGCAAGUACAGGAAAAAGGGACAGGCCAUUUGUGCCUAACACCAGCCCCAAGAACUUUUGAAGGAAAGGUAAAGACAGGAAACUGUGAACUGGGCCAACAUGUGAACAGCUUUCUGCCCUCUAGCAUCCCUUCUUUUUGUCUAUGCAACAAUCACAUGUACUUUGCACAAGCCCAGAAAUGGGAACCCGGUUUUCUGUCCUUUGCUUAUGUUUGUAACCUUUCCAAGCCUACCUCAGGAAGGAUGUCUAUUGAGCAGGUGGGUUUGUGAAAUUUCCAACAGGAGGAAGCCGUUUGCUACAACAACAGCUCAGAGGGUUCUUCUGCACUCCGCACUUCAGCAGUUGUGCCAGCUGGGUAAGGAAGAACACAAAGGGAACCAAAGCUGUGGGCUGGUGCAUUUGAGUCAGAGGCCUCUUUAAAUGUAAUUGAUGGAGAGAGAGAUUGAGAGAGGAUUAUAAUAGUCAGGCUGCCCAACUACUUACGUAACCACACUUAGUGAAGACUCCCCAGAUCCAGGAGCUGGAUUUUAAUUUGCCAUGCUCAGAAAUUCCAUUUUACCAAAGCACAUGCCCUGAUUUGGGCCAUUAUCAGUUUCCUGGAUAUUGUCCAUUUUCCUUUAAGCCAGUCUUCAUCCUUUCUUGCCCUGCCCUGUGCUUCAGGAGACUGGCACUUGGCUUCCAGUUGGCUUUGGCCAAUUGGAGGCACUGCGAGGAGAUCAUAGUGUGGCCAAGAAAGGAGGGCAGGGUAGUUAUUCCCCUACUUUCCUGCCUUCCAGGUAGUUAUGGGUUAGCUAUGUCCCUUUACUGAAGGCCUGCCGCUGUGGGGCCGUUUUCUUCCAUCCAGCUGUUCUCUCUGGGUGUCAGUAACUGCCCCUUCCUCUGGUCCCUUCAGGCUCGGGUUGGUAAGAGUUUCCCCCACUCUUAGCCCAGAAUACUGCAUUAUCUCAUGUAAGUUUUGCACACUUUAUAAAUCAUAGCUUUUUAAAAUUCAUGUUAAAAUAUCCAAUUGCAUAUGCCAUCUCAGAACACUUCUGCUAUUCAGUCAACAUCUGUCAAACUGACAGUAUGGAAACGAAGAUCAGAAUAACUGCCCCCCAAGACUGUGAUUUUAUCCCAUAACUUUAUUAGUUUAGAUUAUUGCAAAUAGUUUUUGUUUGUUUGUUUGUUUGUUUUGUUUUUUUAUUAUUUUUUUUUUUUUGAGUCGGAGUCUCACUCUGUCGUCCAGGCUGGAGUGCAGUGGUGCAAUCUUAGCUCACUGCAACUUCCACCUCCUUGGUUCAAGCAAUUCUCCCACCUCAGCCUCUCAAGUAGCUGGGACUACAGGCACACACCACCAUGCUGGCUGAUUUUUGUAUUCUUAGUAGAGACGGGAUUUUAUCAUGUUGGCCAGGCUGGUCUCAAACUCCUGAGGUCAAGUGAUCUGCUCGCCUCAGCCUCCCAAAGGACUGGGAUUACACAUGUGAGCCACCACACCUGGCCACAAAGAGAACUUUCCAAAGCUCUUAAAUUUGACCUAUGUACUAUGCUGCCAAUUUGAACAAGCUCCCUGCAGAUGAACGGUAGUGCCUGGGUAAUAACCUUGUUAAAUAUGUAUAGGUGUUAGAUAAGCUUACUUUUUCACUCAAUUGUGUAAGAACGUAAAACUAAAACUGUAUAAAAACAGUAAAUUAUUAAAAGUGACUAAAUAUUAAUAGGCUAUAGUACAGUAAUUCAGUGCACAGGCUUUAAGAUGAGACAGAUAGGGAUUCACAUCCAUUAACCGUGGCCUUUGGAAAGUUACUUCACCUCUCCAGUCUUGGGUUUCUCAUCCAUAAAAUCAUCAUGAUAAUUGAGUGCCCACUUCUUAACAGGUGUUGUGAAGAUUAAAUGAGAUUCAUAAAGUAUGAGUACUGUGGGCAUUUGAAAAAUACUAGCUAUUGUUGUUGCUAUUAAUUUUAAUUUGCAAUUCUGUAAUGACAUGAUAUUGAGCAUCUUUUCACAUUCUUAUUUGUGCACUGUAUAUCUUCUUUGGUGAGGCAUCUGCUCAGAUCUUUUGUCCAUUUUGUAUUUGGGUUGUUCAUUUUCUUAUUGUUGCAUUUUAAAUGUUCUUUUUAUUUUUAUAUGGCAGUUCUUUAUCAGAUAUGUCAUUUAUAAAAAUUUGCUUCCAGUAUGUGGCUUGUCUUCCCAUUCUCUUGAUACCACUGCUAUUAGUAAGUUAAAAUAAUGAUAUACUUUAAAUUAUCUCAGAGAGUUGUCAUGUGGAUUAUAUGGGUUUAUAUAUAUAUUUAAAUGGAGUUUUGCUCUUGUUGCCCAGGCUGGAGUGCAAUGGUGUGAUUUUAGCUCACUGCAACCUCUGCCUCCUGGUUUCAAGCGAUUCUCCUGCCUCAGCUUCCUGAGUAGCUGGGAUUAUAGACUCUCGCCACCACGCCGGCUAAUUUUUUUUUGUAUUUUUAGUAGAGAUGGAGUUUCACCAUGUUGGCCAGGCUGGUCUCAAACUCCUGACCUCAGGUGAUCCACCCGCCUCGGCCUCCCAAAGUGCUGGGCUCACAGGUGAGAGCCACUGCGCCCGGCCUAUAUAGGUUAAUGUUUUUAAAGUACUUAGAACAGUACCUGGCACAUAGUUACCAGCUAUAUGAAUGUUAACUAAUAUACAGAUAAUAGUUAAGUGUGAAUACCUAGAAAUAAUUUUAUUCCUUUCCCCCUAUCUUUUAAUUAUUCUCAGUCACUUUUCAAACUACCUUUGGAUUUCUUAAAUAGAAAUAGACCCUUCUAAAUUCUUCCUGAAUUUUUUCUUGGAGUCAAAAACCUUCCUAAGCACAUGUAAGGUUGUUUUAAGUUCUGAUUUUUUCUUUAAGAGAUGGGGUCUUGCUUUGCUGCCCAGACUGGAGUACAGUGUGAUGAUCAUAGCUCACUGUAGCCUCCAACUCCUGGGCUAAAGUGAGCCUCCUGCCUCUGCCUCCAGAGUAGCUGGAACUACAGGCACCUGCCCCUACAUUCACUGAAUUUUUAAAUUUUUUGUGGAGAUGGGGUCUCACUAUGUUGCCAAGGCUGGCCUCAAACUCCUGGCCUCAAGCAAUCCUCCUGCCUCAGCCUCCCAAAGUGUUGGGAUUACAGGUGUGAACCACCGCAUCCAGCCCUGAUUUUUAAGCAUUGGUCAGCUUGCUGUCAAAAGCUAUCUCGAGCAAGUUUUCUUGACUGUUUCAAUCCUCACACUCCCAAAUGAGAUCUUAGAUAUAUUUUUAAUAUAGUGAUACAGCAACUGAAACUUUGCUUACUAAUCCAUCCUCUCACCUUUACCCUACACCAGCAACAUAAGGCAGGGAAACAAGUGGUUAGGAAGAAGUGUCUAGGUCCGGAGCUGUUUAUUAUCUGGCAAUUUAGAGAUGAAUAUCCACUAGAGAGACAACUCAGAAAGGAAAAAUGCUUUCUUCACGAAAUGAGUCAAGAUUAGUGCUCUCAAAGUGUCAAAUUUAUGAUAACAGAGGAAUAUGAAUUUCUUAUUUAGACCAGAUAAAUGUUUUUAUGACAAUUAGUCCUUGAAUUCAUGACCUGUGUUUGGUUACAGAGAGUAAGGCACCCAUGGCCCGGAGUGACAUGCUGCUCUCCUUAUACUUCCUUCCCUUAUCCUCAGGACUUAAGCUUAAACUGCCUCCUUUCCUGUGGGAGCCAAUGGACCCUAACACCAGAACUCUCCCCUUCUGGCUGCAGAGCAGCAGUACUGAGUACAUGAGUCAAGCCACUGAUACCCCAUGGAGCUUGAGAAUGUGAAACUUACCAUAUACAAGAAAAAACUUAGGGAGACUGAAAUUUGACUAUUUCUCCAAGGAAGGUGGUAGAUUCCAAGAGAAAGGGGGAUUGGAUGGGGAAGCAGAAGGAGAAGAGGUUAAAAGGAGAAUAAAAAUGAGAGAGAAGAUAGGAAGAAAGGAAUGUCUAUGAGGGAUGCCCUCCGAAAGCAUAAGCAGUAAGAUCCAGCCCUUUGUAAAAGGUACAAAGGAGAAAAUUAUCUAAAAGAGGCACAACCCUUUAUCUCUACCUGUGUCUGCUUCCCUCUAUAUUAGCCACUAGUCUUUUAGAUGUAAGGGGUAGAGACUAAAACCAGCUGAAGUGAUAAAUGAAAUGUAUUGACUUAUAUAACCAAGAGGUCUAGAGGUGAUCUAACUUCAGGCCUGGCUGAGUCUAGGAUUUCAAAUUAUAAGGACUAUUAAUUUUUUGUCACCUCUUAGUUCUAUAGGUACCUGGGUCCAUUGGCUUCACUCAGAUUUUGUCCAUAUGACCCAAAGAUGAUCACCAAUUGUCCCUGGCUUAUACUAUCCUUAAAGAGAAAAGAGAGAACCUUCUCUCCCCACCACAUCAUUCAGUCCAUAUCAGUCCCUGAAGAGGAUUCUGCUGAGGUCACAUGCCCCAGUGUUCUAUAUCCAGGAGGAUGGGGUAUUCUGGUCGGUCAAGUGGAGUCAUGUGCCCACAGUAAUCAGCAGAUGUGGGGGAAGGACAUUUCCCAGAAGGAAGGCUUGAAGCACAGCCAUCCCAAACAGCCCCCAACUCCAUCUAGCUAGAAUACUUUUCUAAACUCCUCAAUAGAAGGCUGUUUUAACAUCCAUGGCCAGGCGCAGUGGCUCAUGCCGGGCCUGGUGGCUCACGUCUGUAAUCCCAGCACUUUGGGAGGCCAAGGCAGGUGGAUCACUUCAGGCCAGGAGUUCGAGACCAACCUGGGCAACAUGGUGAAACCCAGUCUUUAUGAAAAAUACAAAAAUUAGCCAGGCGUGGUGGCGAGCACCUGUAAUCCCAGCUGCUCUAUAGGCUGAGGCAUGAGAAUUGCUUGACCCUGGGAGGCAGAGGUUGCAGUGAGCUGAGAUCGCGCCACUGCACUCCAGCCUGGGUGACAAAGCGAGACUCCGUCUCAGAAAAAAAAAAGAAAAAGCCAUGGUGUUUUGGUGUACAUUUAGUAGGGGAAAGGAACACUGUGGGUUUGAUGCCAUGGUGGGCAUUGAGGACAGGGGUCAAGGGUCAGGGGUCAUCCUCUCAGGACUCUUUGCACUUCAUGGUGGACCACUAGAUGAUGAAGACAAUCUACACAGACAUUGCAAUUUAGAUUUUUUUAAAUCAAAGGGUCACUCAACUGUACCACCUCCCCAACUUGCCCUCCUUACCUCCCCAGCUAGUAACGAGAGACACACCUGUGAGACAGAAAAAGAAGGUCUCUUGACGCAGAUUAUGUAAUUACAUCAGCCAUGUUUAUUCUUUCAUACUCUCAGUUCCCUAAUUUCCUUUUCUCUUCAUUGGGGUAAAAACCAAAAAGACAGAAAGUAGAGGGACCGCAGCCAUAUUAUUCAUAAUUCCUCUGUGAUAACUCCAUGAUGCCCCUUAUUUUUAAGUGAGGGGGUUUUCUGACAGCUGGCUUUUUAAAUUCAUCUACUAGACAGUUUAAAUUUAAUGACCAAUUUCUUUUUAAUAAUCUUAGCAGGCCCCCCUAGAGUUUCAGCCAUUUAAACAGAACAUAACAGAAAUUUCCAAAGAAAUAAAAGGUGAUUUCUUUAUACAGCUUCUCACAUUCAAACACAUUUGCAUACAUGGCCCAUCUGAAAAGCUAGAACUAAUGAAAUUAUGAAUGAGAUUCUCAUUUUUCUAUUCUCAGAAUCCUCUCCCUCCUGGCAUCUUUCAAAACUCUAAUCUGAAAUUAUUCCCUCCAGGAAGUUAUCCUUGAUUAAUCACUCCCAACUCUAAUUAUGUAUUUCUUCAUUAUAUAAACAAGAGCUGUGGAUACAGUUCCAGUUAGGUUCACCUUCUCUCGUUCAUAUAUGGAUUUAAAGUUUCCUGAGUCUUGGGAUGUGAGUGUGUUCUUGGGCAGGGAUGUCUUCUGUCUCUGUGUAGCCAUUCCUUCCCUCUACCCUCAUCCCCAGGACUGCUUUAAGCAAAGACAAAAGAGGAACUUAUUUACUGGUGUAAUAAAAAAUCCUGGGCCCUGCAAAUUGCCAGAACUGAAGUGAAAUUUGAGCUCUGCUGAUACUAGCGGUAUGGGGGAAAAGUUAAUUUUUUUAAAGCUUGAUUUUCUUACGUGAAAAAAUGAUAAAUUCUUUAGAGCUCUUGUGAUAAGAUAUGUAUUCAAAAACACUUAAGGAUGCUUGUAGAUCUUUUUAAAAGUAUUUGUUUCCUUAGUGAUAUGAUUGCAGAAGCUACUGAGUCCAUGAAAUAUAUUUUUCAUCUGUUGUUGACAUCUGAAAUUCUUUUCCAGAAGACAAAAGCCAUUUAUGCCAAAUUAGAAAUAAGAUUGAGGCCAGGCACAGUGGCUCACACCUAUAAUCUCAACACUUUGGGAGGCUGAGGCAGGUGGAUGACUUGAGCCCAGGAGGUCGAGACCACCGUGGGCAACAUGGCAAAGCCCUGUCUCUACCAAAAAAAAAAAAAAAGUACAAAAAUCAGCUGGGUGUAGCCUGUGGUCCCAGCUACUUGAGGUGGGAGGAUUGCUUGAUCCUGGGAGGCAAAGGUUGCAGUGAACCAAAAUCAUGCCACUGCACUCUAGCCUGGAUGACAGAGUGAGACCUUGUCUCAAAAAAAAAAGAAAAAGAAAAAGAAAUAAGGUUGAAAUUGCAAAUAAUCUUGGCGUAAGUAACAAUGAACUUAAAUACAUUCACUCUGCCAGGCAUGAUAAAUACCUGGCCAUACAUCCCUUCACUGAUCCUUCCCCUACCCGUGAUUGACACCAUAAAUUGGUCGGAAUAGAGUGUCCCACUCAGCCCACUGCGUGCCUCAGAACUCUCAACACAGGGCUCUCUAGACAGACACUACCCAUCAAUUAGAGUUUGGGAGGGUCCAGUCGUGCUAAGACAUACAUCAUUGACACCGUUACUCUCUGAAGAGCAGGGUUUGCUUAGAGGAUGAGGAGAAGAUUAAAGGAAGGGAUAAAAGAGCAGCCACUGCUGGAUGUGGUAGUGACAAAGGGUACUAGGAAAGAAGGUGCAAUUUCUCUAGCCUGAUAAGUUUUCUAAGAUGUCCCCAUGACCCAGAGAGGCAUUGCUCAGGGCCCAAGUGAAAGGUUUGGCCCAUGAACACGCUGCUUCUUGACCUAGCUCCUCAUUUUCACAUCUUCGCUGUCCUUACUCUUCGUUGUCAACGUUGACCCACUUCUCCGUUCCAAAGUCCCCCAUGUAUAACUCCUUUGGUUCUGAGAGGAAAUAGGGGGUGGGUUAUCUCUAAGGUCUACUCCAAGUCCAGACCCUGCGCUCCAUGUUGCUGACUCAGGGUCCAUUCUCCACUCAGCUUUCCCUUCUGGAUUGACACUUCCACCAGCGGAUUCCCAAUAACCGGCUGAUGAUGAGCAAGCCCUGGCAAGCCUCUCCACACCCCGACCCCACAGGCUUCUGCCACCAGGCAUAGUCUGAUAAGUGGUGGGAUGAGAUGUAGACUAAAAUGGUGAGCCUCGUAAUGUUGCCUUGAUCCUCACGAGCCUGGAUGAGGCCAUCCACAGAGUGACAGCCAAAUACAUGGAGGUCAACUCAAAGUGACUUAGGGGUGGCUAAAGUUAAUGACUGUUGAGUAUAAUUAUCUCUCCUACAAAUGAACUGUGUGUUUACAAGCUUAUCAGGUCUCUUUUCUGAACCUUGGUUUUCUGCUCUGAUCAGCGAGGAGGGCUGAACUACUGUGGAGAAACAAACCCCAAGGCUCUGUAGAGAAUGGAUGGGCCAUGGGUGGGCUCUGUGGGGAGACAUUCCAGGGCUCCCUAGCUGUGGGAAAGAGUCCAGGAGCUAGUACAGUUUUGCCUGCCCUUUGUUUUCACCAAUUCUCAUCAGAUUCAAGAGAAGCUCUUCUCACAGUAGGGUAGUGCCAAGAAGAGUCAGAUGUGAAUACCUCACAUCACUCUUCAUCCAUCCAUUCAUCAGUCCAUCCAUCCAUCGUUUUCAUUCAUUCUAUACAUACAUACAUUAUUGUAUACAUAUAUCCGUUCUAUACAUUAUUCAUAUGUAAAUAUGAAAAUACGUAAAUAUGAAUAACAUGUCAGGGCACUGGGAUACAAUAAUAAAUAUGCAUAUUUAUUCAUAUGUAAAUAUGUAAAUAUGAAUAAUAUGUCAGGGCACUGGGAUGCAAUAAUAAACUAAUCAGAUGUCACCACCACCUUAGGGAGCUACAGUUUAUUGUAGGUAUAGACAAUAAGCAAGUGAGGUGACAAAUAAACUAAUUACUAAUUGUGAAGUUCCUGAGGAAACAAACAGGGUGGUAUGAUAGAAAAUGGUCAGGUGCCCAACGCCCCGCACCCCCGCCGGCCGCACUUAGCGGAGCUUUGCUGGGGAGGCGCCGGCGCGGCGGCUGCGCAGCUCGAAGUUUCCGCGCGAGGUGGGCGGGCCGGGCUGGGCCGGGCGCUGCGGGGCCGGGACCUGGUCUUGGAGCUCUGCGACCGCGCGCUCGCCCUCCCGCGGCGUUUGCAGGCGCCGCCGCCCCUUCCGCCCCUUGCGCGGGACUGCGACCUGAAAAAGUGACUUUUACUCAUGUGAGCUGCCUUCAGAGAAGCCUCCUCCAGAAACAGGAGAAUGCGUGGCUCUCUAGUGUGGUCCCAUCUCUGCAGGGUUUGUGGAUGUUAAGGGUCCCAAACCUGCACCCGAUGUCACAGGCACAUUACUGCCGUAAGGAGCAUGGAUGCCACACUGGAGAUUGACACAGGAGCAGGCUCGGACACAAUAGGAGUUUGCACGAUGCAGGUCCUUUUUUUUCCCCAGAAUUUGACAUUGUAGCAGAAACAGAAAAUGAGAUUACACAUGAAAUUGUGGAAAAGGAGGGCGACUCAGAGAUCACAGGGAGCGUGGGUGAAGCCCUGGAGAAGGGACUGGAUUCCAUGGUGAAGCGCGAAUCCGGGAUAGACACAAUUUCCCAGAAGUUUAGCACUCAACUACCCCUUGAACCAGAACGGAUUCUCAGAUAAAGGCAGAGGGCUUGCUGCCAUUUGGACUUCUGGUGAAAAUAUCUUUCAAGAAAAGGGUAUUCCAGACUGCCUCUGUGUUGCCAAGAGAAUGUUUGAAUUCCAGGCCCUGCAGCUGGCCCUGAAUCGCCUGAAGGCCACAGACCAGGCAGGAGUGCUGACCGCGCGGCCUCCUGGACGGCUUGUCCUGCGAGGAACACUGAAGCUUAGGAGAAUUUGUAAGGACGCAAGAUGUAACAGAUCCUACCCAAAGACAACAUCUUAAAGCCUUAAGAACGUUAAUAAUCUUAUACCUUGCAAUUCCAUUUCUAGGACUUUCUCCUAAGGAAAUAAUUAUAUCAGAGAUAGAGGUACAAAGAUAUUGCUUGAAGCAUUGUUUACAAUGUCUGAAUAUUAGUAAAACAAAAAAAAUGUCCAAUGACGGAAUUAAAGAGAUUUUGGUACACACACCCACACGAAGAAGGAAAAACAUGAGCAACCUCCUUUGGACAGAUGGGACUGUGCAAUGCCUCUCUAAGAAGGUGACAUUUGGGUCGGCAUCUAAAGAAUGGUCUUUAGGAACCAGCCACACAAAUGGGCAAGAGGAAGCAAGUAGGAAAGGUUCAGGCCAGAAGGAAUUAAGCGCCUAAGAAGUUAAACAAAACCCAGUGGGGCUGGAGCAAAGGAAGCUGGGGAAAGUGACUGAUAUAGUUUGAAUAUUUGUCCCCACCCAGAUCUCCUGUUGAGAUGUAAUCUCCACUGUGGGAGGUGGGGCCUGCUGGGAGGUGUUUGGAUCCUGGGGGCAGAUACUGCAUGAAUGGCUUGGGCCAUCCUCUUGGUGAUGAGUGAGCUCUAGCUCUGAGUUCACAGGAGAUCUGAUUGUUGAAAAGUGUGUGUGGCGGGGCUUGGUGGCUCACGCCUGUAAUCCCAACACUUUGGGAGUCCGAGGUGGGUGAAUCAUGAGGUCAAGAGAUCGAGACCGUCCUGGCCAACAUGGUGAAACCCUCACAUGGUGAAACCCAGUCUCUACUAAAAAUACAAAAAUUAGCUGGGCUUGGUGGCGUGCGCCUGUUGUCCCAGCUACUUGGGAGGCUUAGGCAGGAGAAUCUCUUGAACCCAGGAGGCGGUUCAAGAGGUUGCAAUUAGCCGAGAUUGCGCCACUGCACUCCAGCCCGGCAACAGAGCGAGACUCUGUCUCAAAAAAAAAAAAAAAGUGUGUGGCACCUCACCCAUUCCAAUUCUCUGUCUCUUCUCUCUCACUUGUUCCUGCUUUUGCCAUGUGACCUGCCUGCUCCCCCUUUGCCUUCUGCCGUGAUUGGAAGCUUCCUGAGGCCUCCCUAGAAGCUGAGCAGGUGCCAGCACCAUGCUUCCUGUACAGCCUGCAGAACCAUGAGCCAGUUAAGCCUCUUGACCAAUUAAAUGGCCUAAUGUACUGACAACGGAUGAAUGUGAAGAGGUGAACAGAACUGCAGCCCACAGAAUUCUGGGGCCUAUAAUAGGAAAUUUGGGUAGAUAUUGAAGUGCUUUUAGGCAGGGUAGUUGUAUUAGGCCAUUUUUGUGUUGCUAUAAAGAAGUAUCUGAGGCUUGGUAAAUUCAUAAAGAAAAGAGACUUAAUUGGCUCACAGUUCUGCAAACAGUACAAGAAACAUGGUGCCAGCAUCUGCUUCUAGCAAAGGCUUCAGGAAGCUUCCAACCAUGGUGGAAGGUGAAGGGGUAGCAGGCAUGUCAUACAGUAAGAACAGGAGCAAGAGAGAAGGUAUGGACAAGGUGCCACGUACAUUUUUUUUUUUUUUUUUUUGAGACUGUGUCUCCCUCUGUCACCCGGGCUGAAGUGCAGUGCCAUGGUCUUGGCUCACUGCAACCUUGACCUCCCGGCUCAAGCAACUCCCCCCGCUCAGCCUCCCGAGUAGCUAGGAUCACAGGUGGAUGCCACCGUGCCCAGCUAAUUUUCUUGAUUUUUUUAUAGAGACAAGGUCUCGCCAUGUUGCACAGUCUGGUCCUGAACUCCUGGUUUCAAGUGAUCUUCCUACCUCAGCCUCCCAAAAUGCUGGGAUUACAGGCAUGAGCCACCAUGCCCAGACGCCACACACUUUUAAACAACCAGAUCUCACAAGCACUCACUCACUAUAGUGAGGACAGCACCAAACCAUGAGGGAUCUGCUCCCAUGACCCGAACACCUACCGUCAGGCCCCACCUCCAACAUUGGGGAUUACAUCUCAACAUGAGAUUUGGAGGGGACAAAUAUUAAAAUCCCUCUCUGGUAACUGUGUGCAAAUUGGGUAGGAAUGGGUCAAGAAUAGAAGAGAGGACACCAGUUAAGAGACUAAAUGAGAGGGAAUAGUGGCUGAGAGAAUAGUCUGGAGAAGGGGACCGUCAUGUAUGUUCUGGAGGUUGACACUGUAGGACUUGCUGAUGCACUGAGAGUAGGGCAUCAGGGGGAGAGAUAAGAGUUGACUCCAUGCUUCCAGAUCAUCGUGCCAUUGACUCAGAUGAAGGUUCUCAGGAGAAGAACCAUCAGGGGCAGGGGUGUGUAACUUUUUGCAGAACAGGUUUGUAUGUCUUUCAGUGGCCAAUUUCUUCUAUCCAGGGGGAAUUCUGGGGAUGAACUGAGAGAAAAGCAAGAUUGAGAACAAAAGGGAAUGUGUGCUUUAUCUUUGACUGAUUGGUUGAUUGAUUCAUUGAUUCAUUCAUUCAACAGAUAUAUGUUGGAUACCAAUCAUGUGCCAGACUUGUCAUGUGUGAUAAGUGCUAUGAAUAAAGCGAUGUGAGGAGUAAAGAAUUAAGAGACAGUGUGUGUGAAUGUGUAGGAGGUGGUUUGCUGUUGUAUAUAUGGUGGUUAGUCAAAGCCUCUCUGAUAAGGUGACAUUUGAUUGGAAAGCUGAAGGAGGUGAGGAAGUAAACCACCUGCAUAUCUGGGGGCAUCCUAGGCAAAGGAACUAUGAGUGCAAAGGCCCUGCUUGUUUUGUUCCUGGAGCAGCAGGGAGGCCUGUGUGGGUAGAGUGGAGUGAUGGAGGGGUGCACAGUGGGAGGUGAGGCCAGAGAGGUAGUGGGGGCCAGGUCUUAUAGGGCCUUAGAAGGUCAUUAUAAGAAAUUUGGAUUUGACUGUGGGUGAGAUGGGGAGCCACUGGAAUGUUUCUACCUUUAUUGAGGACCCACUAACGAGUCCCAUUUGCAUUCCUUGUUCCUAUUAAAUGAAGAGAGUUUCAACCUUGGCUAGUUUGCAGUGAAGCAUAAGAAAUAGAUCAAUAUCUCACACUAUUAGGAUGUCUACUGUCAAGAAAAAUAGAAAAUAAGUGUUGGUGAGGAUGUGGAAAAAUUGGAACCUUUGUGCAAUCUUGAUGGGAAUGUAAAAUGGUGCAGCAGUUAUGGAAAACGAUAUGGAGGUUCUUCAAAAAAUUAAAAAAUAAGAUUACCAUAUAAUCCAGCAAUCCCACCUCCGAGUAUAUAUUCCAAAAGAAUUGAAAGCAUAGCCUUGAAGAGAGAUUAGUACACCCAUGUUCAUAGUAGCAUUAUUCAAAAUAGCUAAUAGGUGGAAGCCACUCAGCUGUCCAUGGAUGGAAGAAUGGAUGAACAAAAUGUGCUAUAUACAAACGGAGAAAUAUUAUUCAGCCUUGAAAAGAAAGGAAAUCUGGUCAGGCAUGGUGGCUCAUGCCUGUAAUCCCAACACUUUGGAAGGUCGAGGCAGGCAGAUUGCUUGAAGCCAAGAGUUCGAGACCAGCCUGGGCAACAUAGUGAGUCCCUGUCUCUAUAAAAUUUUAAAAAAUUAGUCAGGCAUGGUGGCACGUGCUUGUAGCCAUAGCUACUCAGGAAGCUGAGGCAGGAGCAUUGCUUGAGCACAAGAUUUGGAAACUGAAGUGACCUAUGAUCAUGCCACUGCACCCAGCCUGAGCAACCGAGCAAGACCCUGUCUCUAAAAAAAGAAAGGAAAUCCUGUCACAUGCUGCAACAUGAAUGAAUCUUGACGACAUUAUGCUAAGUGAAAUAAGCCAGUCACAGAAAGAACAAAUACUAUAUGAUUUCACUUAUAUGAGGUAUCAAAUGUAACUAAGUCCAUAGAGACAGAAAGUAGUAUGGUGGUUGCCAGAGGCUGGAGGCAGAAGGAAUAGAGUUGUUGUUUAACGGGUAUAGUUUCAGUUUUGCAAGAUGAAAACAUUUUGGAGACUGCACAAUGUGAAUAUACUUAACACUGCUGAACUCUACACUUAAAAGGGGUUAAGAUGGUAAACUUUAUAUUAUGUAUAUUUUAGCACCGUUAAAAAAACUUAUUAUUGGAAAAUAAUGACUUCUUAAAUCAAGAUUAAUAGCAUGUAACCCACACACUACUUUGUUUGAAAAAAAAAAAGAUCAAGAAUAAUGACAUAAGUGUAUGUACAUAUUAAUAAAAACUGCCUAAGCCAAAAAAUAUCAAGUAUCUCUUACGUAAGCCAUUUCACCCCUAAGCAGCUUGAGAUAUAAUAUCUGCAGGUGGCAAAUUCUGCUAUCAGGGACACAAUUUAGGAAAAAUGGGAAAGCAUCCAUCAUUCUUUCAAAGUUUCUCAACUACCAAAAAUCUUAUCCAUUCCAUUCAACCAAACAGCAUGUAUUGACCCUUGACUACAUUUAUAGCAAUAUGCUAGGUACCAUGGACAUAUACAGACAGAUAAGACACCCACCAAAACUUCUCUCUCCCCUUUCCCUCUCUCUGAGUCAAAAAUCUCUUCCUUCCCUUUGAUCUUUGCCUAAUUUUCUCUUUGCCACGCCUAAGAUAUGGUUUCUUUGCUCAUACAGUCUUGGUCCAUGUUUCUCUGAGCCUCUGAGACCUGGAAAAUUGAUAUUGGCUGGUUGUUGGUAGAACUAUUUGCUCUUCUUGAGUGUCAUUUUUCCUUGCUACCAUCCUUAGUAGGCUGCAGGCUAACCCUUCAUUUCCUUUUAGGUGCUGCUUCAAUUCCUCUUGCCUCUGAUAAUUCUCAAAGAAGACCUACAAUAUAUUCAGGCCACUGCCCAAUUUUAGAGACAUUUCCACCCUAGUUGUCAUGGUCAAUGUCUGAGCUUUAAUGCUUCCUCCUGAGCCGUGGUUCAUCCAGCUAAGUCAUGCUUAAUGAUAAUUAGAAAAGAGGUGACCGACAGGGGGAUUUGAGUCCAUGGCUUAGUCAUCAGGGAGAGAUAUUUUUUACUGCUAACUCAUAUGACAAAUCUGUGAAGCACUGUUGGCUACCGUAAUUUAUUUUAUUGAAGUAAGAGGUUGUGUUUUUUCUAACUUUUCAGUUGAGCUUACUGACCUGUAUAAAGUCAGCAAAAUCAGGUAAUUUUGUGUACGCAUCUUUGUAGAAUCUACACUAAAUACUGGCAAUUGAGAUGAAGUGGAUACAGUUGGUGUUCUUUAAAUAUUUACAUCCCAAAGCUGAUACAAUCACAAAACAGUUCACCACAAUGCCAUGAAAUAUUGUAUGCUCAUGGAUUAUAAUGACUGAUUAAUUCACAAUUGCUUCCCAGGUAAGUUUUAGAAACUAAGCACCAAGGCUCCCCUCUUUGCAGACCUACUGGCCUACCCUGGAAUUGCCAGGUGCUCAGCCACUGAUCACAAUAACAGUGAGAACAUUCAGUAGCACCUUCCUAAGUCUUUGGCUUAGUUUUCCAACUGUUGUACUCUGGACUCCCCUCUUUAGUGACUGGUAACUUGGCGUUUUAAUUCAAUAUUAGGCUUCAGAUGGCUAUAAUGUGUUAAGUAACUCUUUUUCACAAUGCACAUUUAUUGAGUUCUCUCUUAAUAUUCAUCAGACAUUCCUUAAGAGGCCUCUCAAUGGCAUGGAAAGGCAAUCUGGUUUUGCAGCACAUAUCUGCACACAUCUGUCCAUUCCUCAGGAGAACUAUAACCACAGCCUGAGUCCCUCCAUUUUUCCAUAUUGCCUUUGGGAGCAAAUUUUAAAAACUUAAUCCUGCAUUUGAUAGGUCACUAGCAUUUAUCUGAGUAACAAGGCCAGUUUCCUGCUGUGCUAAACCUUUCAAAAUCAUACAAAGCUUCACCUGUAUGUUCCUAAUCCCACUUCCACAUCCUGGCAUGGAGUUUGAUGUCAUAGCCACAUUGCAUGGGUUUAUCCUGCAGAGUGCAAGAGGAAAAUCAUUCUGGAUUUUAGAGAAGAAAAUCCAAGACAAGAAACAGAGGUAGCAAGAGAGAGAUGUCACUGGUGCACCACUAAAGAAAAACCUCAAGCUGCCAACGUCAGCUCUACAGAGAAAUGGGGACUGAAACCAAAGAGAGGGAUUUCAGACCUGUGUCAGCUGAAAUCUAAAAUGCAGUCAUUCAUUUAGACAAUAGCUAGGAAGUUAUUUUUAUGUAUCAGUGACUUUGAAAAUGCAAUAUCAAUCAUGGUGUUAUUUCUCUUGGACCUGGGGCGAAAGGACUCAAGUGGAAGGUUCCCAUUACCACAGCGGUAUUUCAGGGAGUGAGGAAUUUGGGAGGGAGGAAAAACAGUAUGUCCCUCAUCUGGGGAUUUUCUCUCCUCAUAACUGAUCUUUUAAAAUCCUUUAUGUAGGGAUUUUGCAAACUGACUAUGAAAAGGAAAGCCCCACUAUCUCUUACUGUGCCAUCAACUCACACUGUAAAAGGAGCAAAAAGUGUUUUAAAAGCCAAUUUGACCAGAGCUGACUUAUUUUACUUUGUUUAUCGACAGAUGUCAAUAUCUUUAUAUUUCUUAUCUCCCCAGUGGACUGUAAGCUUCGGGAAAGGCAAUAGCUCUGGAAUAGUUACUGCGCUACUGGAGUAGUGCCCAUCAGACUGUGUGUAAAUGAGACUUGGCUGUCAGUCACCCUGGGAGGCGAUGCACAUUCAUUCUCAGGAUGCUGCUAUUGCUCAACUGAUUUUUAGAACUCUGAGAGGGAAGAAUUUUCUAACCCUUUCCAUUUGCCUUUAGAAUUGGUUCAUAUGUCACCCCAAAAUCAAUUUUUUAUACUUUAUAAUCAUCAUAUUCCUUUUUUUUUUUGAGAUAGAGUCUUGCUUUAUUGCCCAGGCUGGAGUGCAGUGGCGCGAUGUGGGCUCACUGCAACCUCCGCCUCCUGGGUUCAAGCGAUUCACCUGCCUCAUUCUCCCAAGUAGCUGGGAUUACAGGCAUGAGCCACCAUGCCUGGCUAAUUUUUGUAUUUUUAGUAGAGACUGGGUUUCACUAUGUUGGCCAAGUUGAUCUCAAACUCCUGACCUCAAGUGAUCUGCCCGCCUUGGCCUCCCAAAAUGCUGGAAUUACACGAGUGAGCCAUGUCUAGCCACAUUUCAUUUUUCAAAAAAGCUUUAUUGAGGUAUAAUUUACAUAUAAUAAAAUGCACUCACUUUAAGUGUACGAUUAGAUGAUUUUUAGUAAAGUCACAAGUAUGCAACCCUCACCACAAUCCAAUUUUAGAACACCUCCAUCGCCUAUUCCCAUCCCUAGCCCCGGGCAACCACUAGUCUACUUUCUGUCUGCAUAGAUUUGCCUUUUCUGGAUACCUCGUAUAAAUGGAAUCCUAUCAUAUAUGAUCUUUUGCGACUGGCUUAUUUUGCUUAGCAUAAUGUUUUCAAGGUUCAUCCAUGUUGUAGUGAUGCAGAUGCACCCCAAAACUGGAGCUUAGCUUGGUGGGUUCUUGGUUUCACUCAGAAAAGAAUUCAAGAAUCAGCUGACAGUGAAAGAAAGCAAGUUUAUUAGAGCAACAGUGUACAUCACAAUGGCUGCUCCAUAGAGCAGGGCUAACCCAUAGGCAGAGCAGGGCUAACCCGUAGGCAGAGCAGGGCUAACCCGUAGACAGAGUGGCCCAGAGCAGCAGUGUACAGCAAGGUGGCCACUCCAUAGGCAGAGCAGUGCUGUCCCAUAAACAGAGCAGCCUAGAGCAGCAGCAGCAGCUGCAGUCCCAAGCAGGAGCAACAGCUGCCACAGCUGUCACAGAUUGCUGGCCAGCUAUAUUUUUGCCUACUCUUAACUAAGUGCUAAUUAUGGGAUUAUUCAGAAUUUUCUCGAAAAGGGGCGGGGAAGUUCCUGGAACCAUGUAAGGCAACUUCCCACUCGUUACCAUGGCAUUUGUAAACUGUCUUGGCACUAGUGGGAGUGUCUUUAUGCUAAGGAGCAGUGAGGGCAACUAGAGGUUGCUUUCGUCACCAUCUGCUGGUUUCCGCCAGUUCCUCUGCUACAUCCUGUUUUGAUCAGAAGGGUCUGAUUGGAAAACAAGUCCAUCUACCUCAGUAGCAUGUAUGAGUACCUCAUUUCUUUUUAGGGCUGAAUAAUAUUCCAUUGUAUGGAUAUUAUCACAUUUUGCAUAGGCAUGGACAUUGGAGUUGUUUCCAGUUCAGGGUUAUUAUGAAUAAAACUACUCUGAAUAUUCACAUAUGUUUUUGUGUGGACUUAUUUUUUUAAAAUCAGAAAAUAUAUUCCUCAAUUUUAUCUUGCCUCUACUCUCAGUGGCUUCGCAACAUUGAACAUAUUCAAAAGAAUGAACCAUAGGCUCUGAGGUGAUGCCCAAAGAAAAGAUGUUCUAAAAAUACUUUCUACGCAGAUAACACCAUUGGAUUAAGAAUAUUAUCUCCUGAAGGCCGGGUGUGGUGGCUCACGCCUGUAAUCCCAGCACUUUGGGAAGCCGAGGUGGGAGAAUCACAAGGUCAGGAGUUCGAGACAAGCUUGACCAACAGGGUGAAAUUCCGUCUCUACUAAAAAUACGAAAAUUAACCAGGCGUGGUGGUGUGUGCCUGUAAUCCCAGCUAGGAGAAUCACUUGAACCCGGGAGGAGGGGUUGCAGUGAGCUGAAAUUGCACCACUGCACUCCAGCCUGGGCAAUAGAGUAAGACUCCAUCUCAGAAAAAAAAAAAAAAAAAAGAGUAUUAUCUCCUGAAAUAAUUGUUCUAAAGAUGACAAUACUCAUUUGAUAUAUAAACAUAGGUGUAUUGUUUGUAAAUAGUUAAUCUCAUGUGUACAACUUAAUUACAGCACGCUUGUGAAUCUGCAACAGUUUAGCACAGUAUUUUGCAGAUAGAAGCUGCUUGAUAAAUAUUUGCUGACUGAGUUUUUAAAUGCCCAUAGUGGUUCCUCUUGGAAAGUAAAAUAUCAAAAGUUUCAAUGUUUAACAGCCUUUUCCCAUUUUGUAUAAACAAAGCCAAAGCCCUCCGAGAGAACAUGACAAGCUAUCCAAAGAGCUCCAAGUCACAAUUAUCUAUCAGACAGCCUUAUUGAUCUUCCUUCAACUUGAGAGGCCUCAGGCAAAGCAAUUGCUCUGUAGGCUUGGAGGGGCAGGAAGCAUUUGUGUGGGGCCUGUGGGAGCAUUGGUUUCACCACUGAAUUAUGCCUCCAUGAGAAACAGCCAGAGGAGCCCAGCUCUUCUCGGCAAGGGCCCUGCCCCUUGCUGGCACGUUUUCUUAGAAGUUGACUGGCCCGGAUCCAACAUUGGCUAACUUCCUCUCGGUUGCUCCCUUGCACACUGUUCCAAGCCUGUGUGGUCAGAUUUGGGCUGUUAACUCAACAGACUCCAACCACAAGGAAACUAGAACCACCCGGUGUCCCCUCUUGCUGACAUUCUAGCCACCUUGUUGGCUCUGGGCAGCUGUGAAUGCAUCUGGGCCUGUGGUCUGUGGGCUCUGAGGCAGCACUCAAUGAAAUCCCAUCUUUAAUUGGACAAAUGAAGUGUCCUCCUCUGGGUUUCCCCAGUGCUCAAGAAAACAGUGUAUGAGAAAUGUAGCCAGCGUGUCCACCCACAGCAUGAGCUCUUGUGUGCCUCUUCCUUAGAAUGGCCGCCCAGGCAGUAGGACCACAGCCCCCAGCACAGGAGAACCCUUCAUCCAGGUGUUCAAUGCCUCAAUAGUUUUCCACUGUCAUGUAAUCAUAAGUUGAUUCUGUUUUAAUUUUCAAAGCACUUUUUCAAAUAGAUAUCAAGUCACUAUUAGCACAGAUUUUAUAACAUUUUAAAA